CUGUUGUAUGUGUUCUUCCAUUGACUUACUAUAAAAAUCUCAUCUUUUCAAGUAUUAUUUUGAUUUGAAGCACUGGAAAAUAAUUAAAAAACCAAAGAUGGCUUCCAACAAUUCAACAACUGUAGACCUGCCGGAUUCUCUUCUCCAUCACAUUCUCUCUCUCAUGCCGAUAGAGGAGGCAUUCAAAACGCGUGCUUUCUCAGAAGGUGGCGCUAUUUCUGGACUUCACUUUAUAAUUUCUAUUUCAAUUGAGAACUUUACAAUGAAGAAUGGAGGAUUUAACAGGUAAAAGUUCAGAUCUCUUAGAUCUGGCCGAUUUUAGAGUUUUUCGGCAUUUUGUUGUUGUUUUAAUUGGUAAAAGUCCAAAUCUUCUUAUAUCUAGGAUUUUCCGGCGAAGGAAUUCGAUCACUGAUUGGUGGAAUCGUUGGGCUGACCAUUCUAAUAUCUUUUAGGCUACUAGAUGUAUUUGAAAUUUUGUGACUACCAGAUGAUAUAACUUUGUAGCGAGUGGCUACAAAAGUAUUUUGCUCUUCAAUUUAUCAUCUUAUGCACUCUCCAAAUUUUGCAUUUUAGUCACCUAAGCAUGGUCAUACUUUGUGUAAAUGUAUCAUCAUUCUUUACUGUUUAGCUCAAAGUUCUCAUACACUUUGUAAGCAUAAAUCAAUUAAAAUAAAUGGAUGGCCAAUCAUAGCAGAUCGUAAUACAUCAAAAGACUGAAUGAAAAAUAUAACAGAUGAGUGUUAUUUAGAGACAAAUGU
RNAcentral lists this long non-coding RNA (758 nucleotides) under Nicotiana benthamiana. RNAcentral describes it as "long non-coding RNA (NBEN_LNC015924)". Lineage: Eukaryota; Viridiplantae; Streptophyta; Magnoliopsida; Solanales; Solanaceae. The record is from RNAcentral.